UUAUUUGUCUGAGUCUCUCUGUAUGCUAGCUUCAGUUCAUUCCAUGUUUUAUCCAGCAGUGUGUUAAUGUCAAGUGAAUAAAUAACUAUCCAUUGAGAAAUCAUAAUGGAUGUACAAUUGCAUGCAAUGCAUGUAGUCACUGCUCAAUUUACAAAUGUAUCACAUAUGUUAUUUGUAUCGAACUUUUCUUCUUCUUUGUCGAUUAACAUUCGUCAUUUUUAAAUUUUACAAAACGAAAAUUUC
This 243-nucleotide long non-coding RNA is filed under the name Nicotiana benthamiana. RNAcentral's name for it is "long non-coding RNA (NBEN_LNC006436)". Lineage: Eukaryota; Viridiplantae; Streptophyta; Magnoliopsida; Solanales; Solanaceae. The record is from RNAcentral.